Macaca fascicularis (crab-eating macaque) is the source of this 1873-nucleotide long non-coding RNA. The record is from Ensembl. Lineage: Eukaryota; Metazoa; Chordata; Mammalia; Primates; Cercopithecidae.
UUUUUUUUUUUUUUUUUUUUGAGACGGAGUCUCGCUCUGUUGCCCAGGCUGGAGUGCAGUGGCCGGAUCUCAGCUCACUGCAAGCUCCGCCUCCCGGGUUCACGCCAUUCUCCGGCCUCAGCCUCCCGAGUAGCUGGGACUACAGGCGCCCAUCACCUCGCCUGGCUAGUUUUUUUUGUAUUUCUUAAUAGAGACGGGGUUUCACCGUGUUAGCCAGGAUGGUCUCGAUCUCCUGACCUCGUGAUCCGCCCAUCUCGGCCUCCCAAAGUGCUGGGAUUACAGGCUUGAGCCACCGCGCCCGGCCCAGAGCACACUCUUUACCUUCCUCUUUACUCUGCCUAUCUAUUCCUCCUGCUUCCUUGGAUACCUCAUACAAUCAUCCCUCUCCUUCCACUAGCUCCUAAUGACCUCUACAAGACUCUCAACUUAACCCACUCUCUGUUCAAGCAGUCCAAUCCUUCCCUGACAAAUGACUGUUGGCUUUCUAUCUCUCUAUCAACUUCUGCUUACGUUGCCACUCCCAUUCCCGCAAAAAAUACUGGGUCCUUACCAACUUAACCUACCACCCUCGUUAUGAAGGAAAAGACCCUUUCCGACUUCUAAAUCUGCAAUCAUUAGCUGACUUCCCCAUCUCUGAUAGGACCAAGAAUACCGUAACAGGACGUGCAAUCCAACUUUUGCAUUCUUACAUUUCCAACCUCACCUAAUACAUAAGCAAUGAAAAGCCCACACACAGCCCUGUAACUAUGAAUACCAUCUUAACUUUUCAAGCCCCUUUAUGCAUCCAACACAAUCUGUUAUCAGGCCUGCCCCUGGGGCACCUACUACCCAUCAGUGUAAUUACACCCUACAACUUCAAGCCCCAACUGAUCAUGGUAACUUCCGAGUCACCCAAACAGCUCCAUUCAGAUGUCUUGUCCACUUCUCAGGGCCCCAAAAAAUCAUCACCUCCUCCCUGCUUAACAAACAGUCCAGGUUUUGUAAUGGCAAACAUACUACCUGCAUGACCAUCCACCCCUGGACUCCCUGCAGCAGCGUCCCCAUCACUAGUGAAAGCCUUCUCAUCCCCUCUUUUAAUCACUCUCUCAAAUGGUUCCUAGUAGAUACAAAAUGGUUUUAUCUUCCAAUGGGAAAAUAGAACACAGGGAGCCACUCAGUUUGCUCCCAACACCCCUUUCCAGCUGCUCACUGGAGCUACCUUGGCAAGUACUCUAGGAGUAUGGGAAAAUGAAAACAACAAACUCACUCACCUUUUUGACAUACACAACCAGUUCUGUCUACCCAGCCAAGGUAUAUUCUUCUUAUGUGGAAUGUCGACCUGUAUCUGCCUCCCCACUAACUGGACAGGCACCUGCACCAUAGUCUUUCUAAGUCCCAACAUUAACAUUGCCCCAGGAAAUCAGACCCUAUCAGUACCCCUCAAAGCUCAAGUCCAUCAGUGCAGAGCCACACAAGUAAUACCCCUACUUAUAGGGUUAGGAAUGGCUACUGCUACAGGAACCAGAAUAGCCAGUUUAUCUAUUCAUUAUCCUACUGCCACAUACUCUCAAAGGAUUUCUCAGAUAGUUUGCAAGAAAUAACGAAAUCUAUCCUUACUCUAUAAUCCCAAAUAGACUCUUUGGCAGCAGUGAAUCUCCAAAACCUCUGAGGCCUAGACCUCCUCACUGCUGAGAAAGAAGGACUCUGCACCUCUUAGGGGAAGAGUGUUGUUUUCACACUAACCAGUCAGGGAUAGUACGAGAUGCCACCCAGCAUUUACAGGAAAAGGCUUCUGAAAUCAGACAAUGCCUUUCAAACUCAUACCAACCUCUGGAGUUGGGCAACAUGGCUUCUCCCCUUUCUAGGUCCUGUGACAGCCAUCUUGCUAUUACUC